UCCCCGCCUAUAUACCACCCGUCAUCAGCUUACCCUGUGAAGGGAAAAUAGUAAGCAUAAAUGGCAAAGCCAAAAACGUCAGGUCGAGGUUUCCGUAUGUGAUGGGAAGAAAUGGGCUCCAUUCUCUGAUACAGACAAUACGAGAAUUGUAAUUUGAAAAAAAUUACCUGAAGGAGGAUUUAGCAGUAAGUAGGGACUAGAGUGCCCUGCUGAAAACA
This 218-nucleotide ribosomal RNA is filed under the name Gadus morhua (Atlantic cod). RNAcentral's name for it is "partial small subunit ribosomal RNA". Lineage: Eukaryota; Metazoa; Chordata; Actinopteri; Gadiformes; Gadidae. The record is from RNAcentral.